AAAUUCCAUCAGCAUCAAGCGUUGCUCGAUAUAUUACUAUUUCCUUCUCCGUGGGAUGAGUGCUCGUCAGUGAUCUGUUUUUCUGGGCGGUGGAACUCCCUUCGUUCAAGUAGAGUUGACCUUUAUAAUCAAGACUAAGCUGUGCGUCAGAAAAUGAAUUAGGUAAAAGAAAGCUCCAAUAUGCAUCGUCUGAUUCAACAGAACUGUUUACUGGGUAUGCAACAAGGUUACCAUCACUUUGCAUCGCGAGAAGAAAUCGUCCACUUGAGUGAUCAGAGUUGGACAUGCUCGAAACCAACUCAUGGUCAUUGGACAGAUUCUGACCUCCUAAU
This 332-nucleotide unclassified non-coding RNA is filed under the name Hevea brasiliensis (rubber tree). The record is from RNAcentral. Lineage: Eukaryota; Viridiplantae; Streptophyta; Magnoliopsida; Malpighiales; Euphorbiaceae.